GCCGGACUAGCUCAGUUGGUAGAGCAACUGAUUUGUAAUCAGUAGGUCCUUGGUUCGAGUCCGAGGUCUGGCA
RNAcentral lists this transfer RNA (73 nucleotides) under Holosporaceae bacterium. RNAcentral describes it as "tRNA-Thr". It matches the Rfam family "tRNA". From Rfam's summary of the family: Transfer RNA (tRNA) molecules are approximately 80 nucleotides in length. Their secondary structure includes four short double-helical elements and three loops (D, anti-codon, and T loops). Further hydrogen bonds mediate the characteristic L-shaped molecular structure. tRNAs have two regions of fundamental functional importance: the anti-codon, which is responsible for specific mRNA codon recognition, and the 3' end, to which the tRNAs corresponding amino acid is attached (by aminoacyl-tRNA synthetases). tRNAs cope with the degeneracy of the genetic code in two manners: having more than one tRNA (with a specific anti-codon) for a particular amino acid; and 'wobble' base-pairing, i.e. permitting non-standard base-pairing at the 3rd anti-codon position. The record is from RNAcentral. Lineage: Bacteria; Pseudomonadati; Pseudomonadota; Alphaproteobacteria; Holosporales; Holosporaceae.